AGGGUGACAGGUGGGUGCAUGGUUGUCGUCAGCUCGUGUCGUGAGAUGUUGGGUUAAGUCCCGCAACGAGCGCAACCCUUGUCAUUAGUUGCCAUCAUUUGGUUGGGCACUCUAAUGAGACUGCCGGUGACAAACCGGAGGAAGGUGGGGAUGACGUCAAGUCCUCAUGGCCCUUAUGGGUAGGGCUUCACACGUCAUACAAUGGUCGGUACAGAGGGUUGCCAACCCGCGAGGGGGAGCUAAUCCCACAAAGCCGAUCGUAGUCCGGAUCGCAGUCUGCAACUCGACUGCGUGAAGUCGGAAUCGCUAGUAAUCGUGGAUCAGCAUGUCACGGUGAAUACGUUCCCGGGUCUU
RNAcentral lists this ribosomal RNA (354 nucleotides) under uncultured Rhodocyclaceae bacterium. RNAcentral describes it as "bacterial SSU rRNA". It matches the Rfam family "Bacterial small subunit ribosomal RNA", at positions 1028 to 1382 of the family's 1533-position model. The record is from RNAcentral. Lineage: Bacteria; Pseudomonadati; Pseudomonadota; Betaproteobacteria; Rhodocyclales; Rhodocyclaceae.